AGUCGAAUGUCUCAGAAAGGUUUUAUCUUAUAGAUAAAAAGCCUACACUUAGUUUGGGGUUUUUACUG
RNAcentral lists this transfer RNA (68 nucleotides) under Porites lutea. Its description in RNAcentral is "tRNA-Ile". The record is from RNAcentral. RNAcentral also lists the same sequence under 2 other names. Lineage: Eukaryota; Metazoa; Cnidaria; Anthozoa; Scleractinia; Poritidae.